This is a small nucleolar RNA of Leptonychotes weddellii (Weddell seal), 219 nucleotides long. RefSeq annotates it as small nucleolar RNA U3. The record is from RefSeq and is a predicted model, not a curated record. Lineage: Eukaryota; Metazoa; Chordata; Mammalia; Carnivora; Phocidae.
AAGAACAAAAUUGGAGAACUCAUCCUACCUGAUCUCAAGUCUUGCUGUUGACCUAUGGUAAUAAGACAGUGGACAGUGGGACACAAGGAGGAGGUGUGGUAUUCUCUAGUGAGCAUGAAGCAGCUCUAGGUGUUAAUUUCUGCAACUGCAUUUCGCCACUGACGACCGUUCUUCUCUUCCUUUGGGACUGUAAGAGGGAGAGGAUGCAGUCUGAGCGGU